CCCGCUCAUUCCAUCACUACGGAUCGUCCGGCACGUACCUGCCGGUGAAGGAGAAGAACAA
This is a non-coding RNA of Microbacterium sp. SCN 70-200, 61 nucleotides long. The record is from Rfam. Lineage: Bacteria; Bacillati; Actinomycetota; Actinomycetes; Micrococcales; Microbacteriaceae.